AACGCACCUUGCGCCCUCUGGUAUUCCGGAGGGCAUGCCUGUUUGAGUGUCAUGUAGACUCAAUCCCUCGGGUUUCCGAGGAGGUUGGACUUGGGUGUUGCCGCUCUGCCGGCUCGCCUUAAAAGACUUAGCGGGAUAGCACCGUAGUCGGCGUAAUAAGUUUCGUCGGUGAAGGUUGUGAUGACUGCUUACAAUCGCCCUCGGGCAAUUUUUGACUCUGACCUCAAAUCAGGUAGGACUACCCGCUGAACUUAA
Molecule: unclassified non-coding RNA, 255 nt
Filed under: uncultured Saitozyma
Lineage: Eukaryota; Fungi; Basidiomycota; Tremellomycetes; Tremellales; Trimorphomycetaceae
Description: sequence contains ITS2
Rfam family: 5.8S ribosomal RNA (bases 1-52)
Source: RNAcentral